Molecule: ribosomal RNA, 422 nt
Filed under: uncultured bacterium
Lineage: Bacteria
Description: bacterial SSU rRNA
Rfam family: Bacterial small subunit ribosomal RNA
Source: RNAcentral
UAAGGAAUAUUGGACAAUGGAGGCAACUCUGAUCCAGCCAUGCCGCGUGAAGGAAUAAGGCCCUAUGGGUUGUAAACUUCUUUUAGACGGGACAAAACCCCUUUACGUGUAAAGGGUUGAUGGUACUGUCAGAAUAAGCAUCGGCUAACUUCGUGCCAGCAGCCGCGGUAAUACGAAGGAUGCAAGCGUUAUCCGGAAUUAUUGGGUUUAAAGGGUGCGUAGGCGGACUAAUAAGUCAGUGGUGAAAGCCUGCAGCUUAACUGCAGAAUUGCCAUUGAUACUGUUAGUCUUGAGUACAGUUGAGGUAGGCGGAAUGUGUCAUGUAGCGGUGAAAUGCUUAGAUAUGACACAGAACACCGAUUGCGAAGGCAGCUUGCUAAGCUGUAACUGACGCUGAGGCACGAAAGCGCGGGGAGCAAACA